RNAcentral lists this ribosomal RNA (452 nucleotides) under uncultured bacterium. RNAcentral's name for it is "partial 16S ribosomal RNA". It matches the Rfam family "Bacterial small subunit ribosomal RNA", at positions 29 to 523 of the family's 1533-position model. The record is from RNAcentral.
AACGAACGCUGGCGGCAGGCUUAACACAUGCAAGUCGAACGGGUGUAGCAAUACAUCAGUGGCAGACGGGUGAGUAACACGUGGGAACCCUCUUAGGAGUACGGAACAACUCAGGGAAACUUGAGCUAAUACCGUAUACGUCCGUGAGGAGAAAGAUUUAUCGCCCUUAGACGGGCCCGCGUCGGAUUAGCUAGUUGGUGGGGUAACGGCCUACCAAGGCGACGAUCCGUAGCUGAUCUUAGAGGAUGAUCAGCCACACUGGGACCUGAGACACGGCCCAGACUCCUACGGGAGGCAGCAGUGGGGAAUCUUGGACAAUGGGCGCAAGCCUGAUCCAGCCAUGCCGCGUGAGUGAAGAAGGUCUUCGGAUUGUAAAGCUCUUUUGCCAGGGACGAUAAUGACGGUACCUGGAGAAUAAGCCCCGGCAAACUUCGUGCCAGCCGCCGCGGUAA